CCUACGGGAGGCAGCAGUGGGGAAUAUUGCGCAAUGGACGAAAGUCUGACGCAGCAACGCCGCGUGAGGGAUGACGGCCUUCGGGUUGUAAACCUCUUUCAGCAGGGACGAAGCGAGAGUGACGGUACCUGCAGAAGAAGGACCGGCCAACUACGUGCCAGCAGCCGCGGUAAUACGUAGGGUCCGAGCGUUGUCCGGAAUUAUUGGGCGUAAAGGGCUCGUAGGCGGUUCGUCACGUCGGGAGUGAAAACUCGGAGCUCAACUCCGAGCCUGCUUCCGAUACGGGCAGACUAGAGGUAGGCAGGGGAGAGCGGAACUCCUGGUGUAGCGGUGGAAUGCGCAGAUAUCAGGAAGAACACCGGUGGCGAAGGCGGCUCUCUGGGCCUUACCUGACGCUGAGGAGCGAAAGCGUGGGUAGCGAACAGGAUUAGAUACCCUGGUAGUCCACGCCGUAAACGUUGGGCGCUAGGUGUGGGGGACAGUUCCACGUCCUCCGUGCCGCAGCUAACGCAUUAAGCGCCCCGCCUGGGGAGUACGGCCGCAAGGCUAAAACUCAAAUGAAUUGACGGCUGAGACGNGCGAGACGACGACGAGGAGAG
Molecule: ribosomal RNA, 599 nt
Filed under: uncultured bacterium
Lineage: Bacteria
Description: bacterial SSU rRNA
Rfam family: Bacterial small subunit ribosomal RNA
Source: RNAcentral